Molecule: non-coding RNA, 21 nt
Filed under: Caenorhabditis elegans
Lineage: Eukaryota; Metazoa; Nematoda; Chromadorea; Rhabditida; Rhabditidae
Source: RNAcentral
UAAGCAAAUAAUAGUUUGGGG